AUUGAACGCUGGCGGAAUGCUUUACACAUGCAAGUCGAACGGCAGCACGGACUUCGGUCUGGUGGCGAGUGGCGAACGGGUGAGUAAUGUAUCGGAACGUGCCCAGUCGCGGGGGAUAACGUAGUGAAAAUUACGCUAAUACCGCAUACGAUCUAUGGAUGAAAGCGGGGGAUCGCAAGACCUCGCGCGAUUGGAGCGGCCGAUACCAGAUUAGGUAGUUGGUGGGGUAAAGGCCCACCAAGCCAACGAUCUGUAGCUGGUCUGAGAGGACGACCAGCCACACUGGAACUGAGACACGGUCCAGACUCCUACGGGAGGCAGCAGUGGGGAAUUUUGGACAAUGGGCGAAAGCCUGAUCCAGCCAUUCCGCGUGCAGGAUGAAGGCCCUCGGGUUGUAAACUGCUUUUGUACGGAACGAAAAGGUCUCUCUUAAUACGGGGGGCUCAUGACGGUACCGUAAGAAUAAGCACCGGCUAACUACGUGCCAGCAGCCGCAGUAA
RNAcentral lists this ribosomal RNA (500 nucleotides) under uncultured bacterium. Its description in RNAcentral is "partial 16S ribosomal RNA". It matches the Rfam family "Bacterial small subunit ribosomal RNA", at positions 30 to 523 of the family's 1533-position model. The record is from RNAcentral.